CUCGAGUUGACCGCAGCGGGAAGCUCAGUACACGUGGCCAAGCUACCCUGUGGACGGGAAUACUCUCGGGAAACUGAGGCUAAUCCCCGAUAACGCUUUGCUCCUGGAAGGGGCAAAGCCGGAAACGCUCCGGCGCCACAGGAUGCGGCUGCGGUCGAUUAGGUAGACGGUGGGGUAACGGCCCACCGUGCCCAUAAUCGGUACGGGUUGUGAGAGCAAGAGCCCGGAGACGGAAUCUGAGACAAGAUUCCGGGCCCUACGGGGCGCAGCAGGCGCGAAACCUUUACACUGACUAGGAUUGGCUAAUCGAGCCGGGG
Molecule: ribosomal RNA, 317 nt
Filed under: Halobacterium sp. MVBDU1
Lineage: Archaea; Methanobacteriati; Methanobacteriota; Halobacteria; Halobacteriales; Halobacteriaceae
Description: bacterial SSU rRNA
Rfam family: Archaeal small subunit ribosomal RNA
Source: RNAcentral